RNAcentral lists this ribosomal RNA (280 nucleotides) under uncultured bacterium. Its description in RNAcentral is "partial 16S ribosomal RNA". It matches the Rfam family "Bacterial small subunit ribosomal RNA", at positions 76 to 352 of the family's 1533-position model. The record is from RNAcentral.
CUUGCUAAGUUUGAUGGCGACCGGCGCACGGGUGAGUAACACGUAUCCAACCUGCCUCAUACUCGGGGAUAGCCUUUCGAAAGAAAGAUUAAUAUCCGAUAGCAUAUAUUUCCCGCAUGGGUUUUAUAUUAAAGAAAUUCGGUAUGAGAUGGGGAUGCGUUCCAUUAGUUUGUUGGGGGGGUAACGGCCCACCAAGACUACGAUGGAUAGGGGUUCUGAGAGGAAGGUCCCCCACAUUGGAACUGAGACACGGUCCAAACUCCUACGGGAGGCAGCCAUG